This 465-nucleotide ribosomal RNA is filed under the name uncultured bacterium. Its description in RNAcentral is "partial 16S ribosomal RNA". It matches the Rfam family "Bacterial small subunit ribosomal RNA", at positions 28 to 507 of the family's 1533-position model. The record is from RNAcentral.
GACGAACGCUGGCGGCGUGCUUAACACAUGCAAGUCGAACGGAAAGGCCCUGCUUGCAGGGUACUCGAGUGGCGAACGGGUGAGUAACACGUGGGUGAUCUGCCCUGCACUUCGGGAUAAGCCUGGGAAACUGGGUCUAAUACCGGAUAGGAGCCAUUUUUAGUGUGAUGGUUGGAAAGUUUUUUCGGUGUAGGAUGAGCUCGUGGCCUAUCAGCUUGUUGGUGGGGUAAUGGCCUACCAAGGCGGCGACGGGUAGCCGGCCUGAGAGGGUGGACGGCCACAUUGGGACUGAGAUACGGCCCAGACUCCUACGGGAGGCAGCGGUGGGGAAUAUUGCACAAUGGGCGCAAGCCUGAUGCAGCGACGCCGCGUGGGGGAUGACGGCCUUCGGGUUGUAAACUCCUUUCGCUAGGGACGAAGCUUUUUGUGACGGUACCUAGAUAAGAAGCACCGGCUAACUACGUG